RNAcentral lists this long non-coding RNA (20119 nucleotides) under Fragaria vesca (wild strawberry). RNAcentral's name for it is "long non-coding RNA (FVES_LNC000480)". The record is from RNAcentral. Lineage: Eukaryota; Viridiplantae; Streptophyta; Magnoliopsida; Rosales; Rosaceae.
CGUCAUAAUCAAAAGGUAGAUGUGAGUAGCGAUUAAGACAAUACCUCCUUUGCAAAGGGGUUGGUUGGAGCUGCAUAUCUGUUGCCUUGGCUGUUGAUAGUGGGGUCUGCACUUCCACCGAUGGCAUACAUUUCCCAGUGAGUGUAGUCGUUGUUCACCACAUGGAAAUAUCCAUGUCUGCACCUGCAUUAUUCAUAGUUCAUAGCAGCAUUAACAAAUGCAACUCUGCUACCAAGGCAAAAUCCGAUUUCAAUAUUGAAUAAUGUCAUAAGUAGGGUUGCUGUUUCUUGCAGCCAAGUUUUAUGUCCAGAACUCAUCCUAAUUGAAAUCGACAUAUCAGACAUGGGAAGCUAAAUAUGCCGGUUCUAGUUGAAAAAUUACCUUGGCAUUCUCUGGAUAAGUCCCUCUCCAAAGUGGUUGUAGGCAAUAGUCACUUGCAUUUGCUUGUCCCUGGUAUAAGAAUCGCUGUGGCCCAACAGCAUUACCUGAUUCAAUUGCAUAGAUAAAAAUGUCAGUAUCACAACUAAAAUAUAGAUGGAAGUAAAUAUUAAUCGGGAAGAGGCAUUAGACAUACUUCAUUGUGGUGGGUAAGGUGGUUGUUGGAGAUGGUAAUAGCAGUUGACCCCAUGACAGCAUCAACAAGACCAUCAGCACAAUUGGAGAGGGAAUUGUGAUCAACCCAGAUAUGGCUUGACCCGAAGAUGGAGAUAGCAUCACCAUCAGCCAUUGUCCUCCAUCCAAAGUGAGAUGGGGAGCUCCUCACCAAAGCAUUUCCUGUGGGCUUGCAGUCAUGGAUAUGCAGACCAUGAACUAUAACAUUUGUGACAAACUGGAUUGUAAUGCAUGCUCCAUUAGCAAUGUGGACAUUGACUCCACGGCCAUCAAUGGUCUUGAAGCUAUUCAUGAUAAGCUCCUGCUUCAAUUGGAUCACCAUGUCACGUUUGAACACAAUCCAGAGGGGCUCAUCCUGGAUGACAGCAUGGCGCAGAGUGCCGGGUCUGGGGUUAACGGGAUCAUCAUCAUUAGGAUCAGUGACAACAUAGAAGCGUCCAUCACGACCACCAAUGGCAUUUCUGCCAAAACCAAUUCCACAGUCUGCAAGACGCUUGCGGUUCUUUUGCCAGUUGGGAUCACAACGCCAGCAAUCAUCAAUGGGAUUUCCAGUUCCACAUGAGAAGUAGCCCAGCUUUCUCCUUUCAGUGCUGUUGCGGAUACUCCUGCAAUAUCCAAAGUGUUUCUACUAUUAACAUUACUGUCAAAAAAAAAAAUUGUUCAAACAUAAUUCAAGCAUGAUCAUGCCCCAGUGACAAACAAGCAGACAGAUAGUUCAUGUCAUAUUCAUGGUAAAGUGGGAUAGUAAUUUCCUAUAAAAUUUUAGUGAUGGUAAUUUCUGCCCAGUUUCCUUUUAUGUCGUAACUUGCUCAGCCUGGAAAUUGCAAGUAGUUUGUCCCAUUUAUGAAGACAAUUAGGUCACUAUCCAUAAAGAAUACAAUUGCUGGUUAACUGUUGUCCAUAAAUGAAAUCAGAGUAUAUGUGACAUUUUUAAUCCUUGUUUUUGUUCAAUAAUCAUAUUCCAUUUGUAAAAAGUAACCAAACAAUAUAACAAUCUAAAUCUUACCAAAUCAUUUCAGCCAAACAUCAUAAGAAGCUUAACAAUGCUUUCACUUUCACAAGAUCUUUCAAAAAAAUCUCCACAUAAAAGUAGUACUGAAAGUAACAAGAACAACAAUUAAAAAAGCAGGCAAAAAGGUGGGGUUCAAAAAGCCUAUGGCAUCUUUAUUGGAUGGCCUCCUUUGUUUGACACAAAAAUGUACUCCACCAUAUGAGUAACUUCACAAAGUGAAAUUCCAAAUCAACACAGACCAAGCUAUUAUCAAAUUCACUGGCUCUCAGCACCAGAUAAGGUAUUUAUUUAUGUUUAUGAGCAUCAGACACCAUGUGGGAUUGCAUAUGCUCAUGUGUAAACUCUAAACCAGUGAUUUAUAACAGAAAAGGUUCAUUUGAAAAUGCAAGCAAUCCCAAACACUAAACAAAACUGGUAAGCGGGUUCAAUUCAAAUCCGAAUUGGGUUAGUUGGGUUAGGUUCCAAUUCCCUCAAUAGGAGCACCAAUCACAGCUACAUUUCCCCCUUACCCACCAAAACUGAAUUAAAACUUCCCAGUACCAAAAAAUAAAAAUGAAUAUCACUAUCUACCAUCAUGUGCAUUACAGAGUCACACAUGCUCAAACCAGAAAAAAAAAAUAUAUAAUCAUAAUCAGAAAUAAAAUUGAGUAGGACCAUAUAUAAGUUAGCUGUCAUUAUCCAAUAGAGAAAGAGAGAACGCACAUGUCAACCAUGGCAGCAAUUUCAUCUGGGUUCUCAACUGCAUGCUUAUUCAACCCUCCAUCAUCAUUCUCAUUCACCCUGAAGAAUAUUCAAUCAACCAAAAAAUAAAAAAUAAUUAGCUCACAACAAAAAAAAGAAUUAGGUAAUUACAGUUUUAACCCCAUGUGAGUCCAAAACAUUUCACUCUCGGACCCAGGACCGUUGAGGGUGGGUGGGACCAAUCAGAGCGAGACACGUUUCGGUGGGAGACACGAUUCACUGUGGGGACUCUGCCCGAGAGGCGAGUGCAGACAGUGUCGAGUAGAAACGGUUAGGGGCGGUUAGUCGGCGGUGCGAAUCCCGUGACGAAAUUGCCCCCGAGGAUAAACAUGAUGAGGAGUGAGGUGAAGAGUGUAAAUUAGAGUCGGUGGUGAGGGUAAAAUUGGAAAUGCGGUGAAAGGAAGAAGGGUGGAAUCCGAGGGGAACGAACAUAACGGCCCAGAUCUAGGGAUCUGGAUCUCAACGGCUGUGAUUGCCAUGUACGGUUAACCCCAACGGCUCAGAAACGAGAAGGAACACACGCGACGGUUGAGAUCCGUCCACGUGGACAACAGUAGAAAACAAAACUGAAAAUAAUUAACUCUGGUUGGGUCAAAAGAAAACCCACCUGGGCGCCAUUGAUGAAUUGCUCGAGCUCUGCAACUCCUCCGUUCCACCAUUCCUUCACAACACAAAAGCAAAGCAAAGUAAGCAAAACGACGCCGUUUCAGUAACUCUUAAAGCCAAAACAGAAAUGCCUAAUUUGUAGGACCCGAACCCCCAAAAUUCCAAGAAAUUCUCAAUUUCUGAAGCUCGUUUUCACUAAAAGAACAACAAGAAGGAGAAUGCAGCUGAGAUUUUCUGCUCUGGAAAAAUUUGCCGCAGUAGUAAAAAAGAAGAGAGGUUAAAACCUGAGGAUAGGGGUACCGUCGAGGCUGACACGACCGGACAUUGCAGCGACGAAGCAGAACAGAAGAAGCACCGACACGCAGGCCGUAAUCCAUUUCUUAUUCUCCGAAACCGCCAUUGCUAUCUUUCUCUCUCUCUGUGAGUUAAUGUGAAGACACUGAGAGCUUGAGCACACAAAACGCAGUGUUUUAGUGUUUUGUGUGCAGAGCUAGAGAGAGAAGAGAGAAGAGCCAACAAAAAAACCCAAGUCAGAGAAUGAGCUCCCACAAUCACCCUCCUCUGCUUUAUAUACACACACAUGCACCCACGCACACUAGUACAGUCCUCUCCUCCUCCGGUCCCGUCUCGUUAACGCCGUUAACCGUUAACUCAGUACUACUCUUAACUAAUAACGCCGUAUCAUUUUUUCUCUUUUGGAUUAGGUUCACUUUCACCCAACAACCAAACAACCCCCACCACCAACAUUAACUGCUCUCCUACACCCCUUUCUAAUUUCUUCACUUUUUUACUUUUUACUUUUUCACUGUACCUCCCCUAACUAACUGUAUACGCCCUUCACAACCGACGGACUCCCUUUCACAUUGCCACGUCAGAAGAGGCCGUUACGGAGGAGAAGUACGGAUGGGAUGGGGUGGUCACGGGAACAGAUGUCACGGUAUUCUGCUGGUUCUGCGCCCUAUUUUAAUUUUUUUUUAAUUUUUAAUUUAAUAAUUAUUAAAAUUUGGGUAAUGGCGUGUUUGGGGUGGGAUUGUAAUUCCAGGCGCCAAUCACGGCCUUGUGGGUUUUUUGGUUUGACCCGCCCAUGAAUCAAGUAGUAGUAGCAUAGCUGAGAGAGGAACAAUCAGCUUAAUUAAAUUGUUUCUGUGGAAUUUAAGGCAUUGUUUGGUGGCAGUUUUGCGGGGCUUUCCUUCCCUUUAUUUUUGGGUUUGAUUUUGGAAGACCGGAACUAGAUGUACAAAUGACGCCUAGCUUAGAAUGGUAAUGAUGGGGUGUGAUUGUUUGCAUCAUGUGAAUGUGCUCCAUGUGAGCUUGAAUUCUUGUGAUGCGAUUUUGUUAGGGAUGUUCCAUUGAUCAUGUGUGCAUAUUUACAUCAACACUAAAUUUGAAAGGAACAUAAGAAGCCGGAGAUAGCUACAUGAAUCUAUCUAAGCAGUUGUAUGCUCGUGCCUUUCAUUCUUUCUUGUUGAUUGGUAUUUUUGUUUUCCGUUGUUCCAUCUUUUUUGUGUUUGCUUUCGUUUCGGUGAGUUUAUGUACUUCACACUAUUUUGUCAAACGCCUGAAAUCUCAUACUUUAAUCAGAAUAAAUAAUUAUUUGUGUCAUAAUACUCGUCGUAACUUCUACUUCCUAUUUUUGUACUCUUUUCUCAACUGUAAGUUAUAAUACGCCUUCUUAUAAUAUGUUAAAUCUGGUUAUUUAGGCAUGUGGAGAUUUUAGUACAUUUUACCUAACCAUAGAUUUUAGGCAGGAGAAAGUGAUUUAGGACACCAUAAAAUGAGAAAAUUGCUAUCCAUCCUUGUCAUGCAGGUAAAUGUAAAUUCUCAAAACUAAUGAAAGUUACACAUUUACAAUGACUAUGGGCAGUACAGUGAAUUUAGCUCUGAAUGUUAAAGCUUUCACACGUUACACGAAACUCUCAGUUGGAGGGUCAUGCUGUUUUUCGGUGAAGGGGGAAUUGAAGCCAUCAACUUCAAGCCAUAAAUGUACAAAAAAGAAGCCUCUGGAAAUUUAAUGCACAAGAACUUGUGGCUAAAGCAUCUUGUAAUUAAUUCCAACCCCUCCUCCCUUUAAUUCGUUAUAAAAUUUCACAAGCCAAUUAAUAGAGAAUAAAAUUGCAGGAAAAUUUAAUUCUAGAACUCUUUAGAAUGGUAAAACAACAAUUUCCUUAUUCCAUCCAGUGUCUUAUGACUCUUGUGAGUCUUAUCCUUGUAGGCAAUGGUGGACUUAGAAUUUUAGGUUGGGGUGGGCUGAAAUUUUUUUUUUUUUAAAGUUCUUUAAUUUGUUUUCUUCCAUAUUUUACAUAUCACAUUUUAGAUUAAAAACAUAUCAAAUAAUCACGUAGUUAACUGAUCAUUAAGAAAUCAAUAUUAUGACAGUUUAUAUAAAUUCGAUAAAAAAGUUAAAGAUAAAAGAACAUACAUACUCGAAUUGAACCCUACGCUCUUGAAUAGAAGCAAAAUCUAAUAACUAAGCGCACAAUCACCGCUAUAACAAUACAGUAAACGAGUGUAUAAUCCUUAAACUUAACAGGACGGAAAAACACAAUCUAAUAACUAUGAAUCAAACGUUGGUACGUACUAUUACAACCAUAUAUCUAUAUAUACACACAUCAUUAGCAUUAGUCAUCUACAAUAAAGGAAGCAAGCAAGCAAUUGAGAUUAGAAUUAGAAUAUCAAUAGAAAUACAGUGCGAUGGGAUGAUGGGAUAUUAAGACUAUCAAGACAUUAAUCAAUUGAGAUUUGAGAUGAUGGGAUAUUAGGACUAAAUUUGAUCAAGGCAUUAAUCAAUUGAGAUUUGAGAACUAGGUCAUAAGACACGUACAAGACUCCAAGAGAAUGACUGAUAUAACUAAGAAUCAUUAUCAAUCAUACCUGCAGAUUAAAGAAAGAAAGCUUGGCACUUGGCUUAGAAUUAGUAAACAAGCAAUUGAGAUUAGAAUUAGAAUAUCAAUAGAAAUACAGUGCGAUGAGAUGAUGGGAUAUUAAGACUAUCAAGGCAUUAAUCAAUUGAUGAGAUUUGAGAUGAUGGGAUAUUGAGACUAAAUUUGAUCAAGGCAUUAAUCAAUUGAGAUUUGAAAACUAGGUCAUAUGACAUGACACGCACAAGACCUUCCAAGAGGAUGACCGAUAUACCUAAGAAUCAUACAUGCAGAUUAAAGAGAGAAAACUAAGCACUUGGCUUAGCUGCUUCGGCAGAAGAGAAUAGAGACGUAUACAACGACAAAGAAAAUGAAAGGACUAAUUUCAGUUUACCCCCAUCAACUUUAGGUUGAUCAUCAUGUUAGUCAUUUUUCUUUCAAUUUCAUCAAAAACACCUAUUCACUUCCAAUUUCCAUCAGUCGUGUCUAAACAUCUGUUUUCCAUUCAAUUCCUCCGUCAUGUAAUAACUUGAUUAAGAAGAAAACCAAAUUUGAAGUCGUUGAGCCCAUAAAAAAAGGGCAAAAUAGACAAAUUUUAUUCAAUCCCACCAAAAUCACUAAGGUUAGGGGGUUGUGAUAGGAACAAAGAUGUGUAUCGAUAUGGGGAAAAAAUGGUCAGAAAUGUUAUUUUUUUCGAAAUUUAACUUUUUUCUUGAUGUCAUGUCAUCACUUGACGGAGGAAUUGGAUGGAGAACGGAAAUUUGGACACGGCUGAUGAAAAUUAAGAGUCGAGGGGUGUUUUUGAUAAAAUUAAAAGAAGAAGGACUAACAUGAUGAUCGACUUAAAGUUGAUGGAGGUAAACUGAAAUUAGUUAAAAAAGAAAUAAAGAGAAGAAAGUUGACCUAAAAAUACUAAAGGAGCAACUGCUUUUAAUAAAAUAAACAAUAUAUAUGUAAUCAGAUAAAAAAAAGAGGAAAUUUUUCAAAUGGUGCCUCAAGUUAAGUCCAUUCAUCAUUUUGACAUCUCAAUUUUGAAAACUAUAAUAAUGGAACCUCAACACUUAAACCCAACCCAACAUUAGUUCCCUCCGUAAUUGACACCGUUAAGUUGGACUUUAUCUAUAGGCAAAAUUGUCUUUUCAUGUUUUUCCUCCUCAAAUCUUUUCCCUCCACAUACAUUUCCCUCUAGAAUAAUGUCCAUUUUCCCAUUAGUAUCAGAAUUUAUGGGGAGCCAUGUGUUGGCUGCAUACAAAAAUUAGAGACAUCUAGAAAUUAUAAUACACCAUUGGCCAUUAAUAUCCAUAAUUAAAAGUAGUUUUUGCAACCCACCAGUGAGAGAAAAAAUCAAUAUUGAUUAAAAUGUAUUUUGUAUCAAAUACAGAAGUUCAUGAAACAUAUAUACUUAAUAGAACAAUUAAAGGUAACUAGGUAAUAGGAUUCACAUUCAUAUAUAACUGAUAUUUUCAGGUCGAGAAACUCUAAUUCAAUUGAUAAAGUUUGUGGAGGGAAAACAUUAAGAGACAAUUUUGCCCAUGGACAACAUCCAACUUAACGGUGUCAAUCACAGAAGGAACUAAUGUUUGGUUGGGUUUAAGUGUUGAGGUACCAUUAUCAUAGUUUUAAAGAUUGAGAUGUCAAAAUGAUGAACGGACUUAAUUUGGGGCAUCAUUUGAAAAUUUUCCUCAAAAAAAAAUCAUAUAGACUAAGUUCAAUUACAUAAAGAAAUUUGGGGUGGGCUGGUUUUCAUAAUUUAACUUUUUUAAUUAUAAAUAUGCAACAAAACAAUGUUUUCUCAAAAUCUGGGGUGGACUGUAGCCCACCGUAACCCGUGUGUAGGUACGUCUUUGCUUGUAGUCAUACAAUCGUGUCAAGCUAUGAAGUUAUUUUGCUACAUAUCCAAACUGUCCAAACAUAAGCUAACUUUUUACCAAUAACCCCGUACCGCCGUGUGAAGUACAAGCAAAAUAUAUGUAAUGUGACACUUAAAUUACAAAAAAUCAUAAAAAUAAAAAUUCAAUAAAUUUACGAGCCGUGGUUCCAAGACGUUCUAUAGUCAUUCUCUACCAGUUCUCAAAAUAAAUUCUAGGCACAUAUUCAGUAUAGCAUAUGACAAUGUGUUGACAACUUGACAUUCAUGGGCAUGUCAAUUUGGCAAGCAUUAGCCUUUGUAGGGGGUACCUCAACGGGGCUGUAAGGGGUACACAACUAUGAAAGAAAAGUUAUUUUAAAUAAAAACAAAAGCAACUAUAACAUGUUUUUGACCGAUCACCCUUUCGCAUACUAGUUUCGUAAUACGACUGUCCUACUAAAACAUCUCUCACUUGUCUUUUCAUGACAUUUGAAGUAAAAGAAGUGAUAUGCGAAGAACAUACAUACCUAAUCACCGUUGAGUUCCGAUUCCGUCCAAUUUAUUUACCAACCUCACAAAAGCAAGAAGAAGCUUCAUACAAAAAGUAAAAGUAAAAAAAGAGAAACAAAUCAAAGACCGGGUCUGACCGAAGAGGCGGGAGCACCCAAACUUUAAAAUGCUGUGUUCGUUGUUGGCCCCAAGAAAAUUGGCAAAAGUUUCUAGUUUGACUAAUAUUCAAGCUCAAGGGUAGUUUGGUAACUUUCCCUUUUUCCGACGGGAAAGAACCAAGUGGUGGGAAUCAUGUCAGCUCGGCCACGCUUUUGCGAUGCUAUUUAGGAGGAAAUAAUGAUGUAGUACAGAAAGGUACACAUGCACAUGAGACGACAAUGCAUCAUGAACUACUACUAGAACAACCACCGCCAUUGAUUGUAUGGACCAAUUUUGGUGGCAUGGGUGAUUUUUGUGCCCCCUUGACUUAGUUAACAAGCUUUCUUACUAUCAUUCACAUUGAUCAUUAGUCUACUUGUAGAUUAAAACAGGUAAGUUUGUUUGCUAAAUGUCAAGGGGUUGUUUACUUACCUGGAACGAGAGUUGAAGAGACUUCGAUUCCUAAUUUAGCAUUUGUUUCACGAGAGUUUAACGAUAUUUACAUACGCUAGACAUUAAAAUCAAUGAUAAUUUUUUUAUUUUCGUGUUUUAACAAAGAGUGUGGGUAAUGAAAAUGAUCUCGUCUUGAACCAAAUUUCCCAUGCCAUAAACACAUUGAGAGGUUGUUCAUAACCCAAAAGCACCCUCUUGUGUUUGCUUAGCAAACAAUAUUUUCUACCAAUUAAAAAACACCUCCAUGUUUUUCAAUAAUUCAAAUUCUCAUGCAUUUCUAUUCCAAUUUUAAAUUAGUGUCAGUAUCCCCGUUCGUAUAUUGUUCAAUUCCUUAUCAACCUCAUUCAAGGCUUGUUUUUUUUUUUUUUUUUUUGUUAGAAUAACCUAAUUCAAGUUCAGUGACCGCACUCAAAUUCAGAUGUUUUGAAGAAAAAUACCAAGGAAAAAUCAAGGGGGGAAUCAAAUUAGACUAAGGCACUAAGCUAAUGAUCGGUCCGCUAUCUCCAUGCAUGUCAUGCAUUUUUCUCUCAACAUGCAUUACUUAGAUUCUACAUUUAGCUAACUCAAUCACAUCGACUUUCAAGUAAGAACAAAUAAUUCUAGUAACAUUUCCAACCAACUUUUGCAUUUUCUUUCCCAGUCCACGUGAUCUCAUGGAGGAGACCGCUCAAUUUCUAGUUCAUAAUUUGAAAAUUGGCGCCCUAUUAUAAAAAUCAAAGAAUUUAAGAGAUUUUUUAGUGAUUUAAUUGUCAUCAAAUAAAUAAGCGAUUCUUCGUAAUAAUUAAUUUAAACGAAAAUUGAUAGACGAUCGAACAGUUUUCAAUCGUUUAAAGAUCGAGUAUUAUGAAAAUUGAUUGAUCCUACUCAUUAGAAUAAAGAAAAACGUGAUGGAGAAAGGUAAAGAACGCAAGAAAAAUAACAGUAAAUGAUUUUUAUCAAUCAUCAAAUAACUAAAAAAAACAAUUGCAAUUGGUGCUGCAUGCAAAGGGUUACAAUCGAUCAGAUUGGUCCACAAUGGUUGACAAUUAUGGGGGCAGUGCAGUGUCUUAAUCUUUGGUUAACCAAACCAUAAUGACUCGAGAUUAACCACUUCCAAAUUCAACUCCCUCUCCUGCCUUAGCUUUCUUUAAGAAUCACUUUUUCGGAUUGGUUAAUUCGUUGCGUUGAUGAGUACUGAGGUAAUUGAUAGGCUGAGGUCCACAUGCACCACCAUCGAGUUCAUACCUUGACAUACAAGCAACCAAGCUACCCAGAAUAUAUGCAUGAGAGAGAGAGAGAGAGAGAGAGAGAGAGAGAGAGAGAGAGAGAGAGAGAGAGAGAGAGAGUAGAGAAGAGAGNNNNNNNNNNNNNNNNNNNNNNNNNNNNNNNNNNNNNNNNNNNNNNNNNNNNNNNNNNNNNNNNNNNNNNNNNNNNNNNNNNNNNNNNNNNNNNNNNNNNNNNNNNNNNNNNNNNNNNNNNNNNNNNNNNNNNNNNNNNNNNNNNNNNNNNNNNNNNNNNNNNNNNNNNNNNNNNNNNNNNNNNNNNNNNNNNNNNNNNNNNNNNGAGAGAGAGAGAGAUUGGGGUCUCUGGGUUGGUGAUUAACAGUUGGGUUGUAUAUAUAUUUACUUAGUGGAAUCAUUUACAUAAUGAAAAGGGAAAGGGAGAGAGAUUUCGUAGGGCAAAGUAUGGUACCAAAAAAAUCUGGCGGGUGUAGACAAACAUACGAGUAAGUGGGUUGGCUUUUUUGCUUGCGCUUUUGUUUCACCUUUGCCCAAAGUAAUUGAGUUGCAGCCAGGACUUGACCAACCCCUUGAUUCGUGCUCUAUUGGAAAUGUUCGAAUGUUCUUUAAUCAGUGGAGCUGCCGAGUAUUUCGGCCAUUAACCUUUCUGUAAUUAGCUUGAUUGUCUUAUUUUUCCCUUCUUCUUUUUUUUUUUUCUGUUUUUUUUUGCUUCAGUGUUACACGCACUCUUUAUUUGGCAAUGACAGUGGGUUUGUUACUGGAAUAGAGCUCGAUCUGUUGGGUUAUUCGAGCGAAAGAAUAUAGGUGGUAACAUCCUUAAUUAGAAUGAGAUCAUGAACUACGUUAGGGAUUUUCUUAAGAGCAGUGCUUCUUGUUCUGGGAAAUUCGAAAGGGCAGUGUCGUACGUAUUGUUGGUGUUGUUUGCAGAGGCGGGUUUAGGUCAAAGACAGUUGCGCGCAGCGGCUACCGGUAACCGGCCAGUCUUCUUGAUGUGUCGUGUGUGGCGGUUUGGGGCCAAUCUUGGUUGUAGUGUGUACUCUAUACCAAACUACAGCGGUGCUUCACCCCAAACCGUUCAGAUUAUGGCCUUGGAACUCGGCCGGAUUCAGUUACAAACUCUAAACAUCGACCCUUAAUAAGUUUAGAAUCUAAAUCCUUACCCUAUAACGACGUUAAGUUGAUCAAAACAUUAACGUUAUACAAAGUUUGAAAGUAAUGGAUGAUCGAUGCUGUUCGUAUACAUAGGAAGGUAUUCUCUAUACGUUCAAUUUGUACACAUUUACGUGCAUACAAGGGCAUCUGGAAUGAAAUAAUCUUUGUAUAUCCAUUUGUUCUUGAGCCCCUGAACAACCAAAUUUGGGGUCAUUAGUUCACAUGGGAUGUUAGUUGAUGGUUUGCCCCAUUGAAAUUAAGGAAAAAUGGUGGAGCUAAUUUCAUUUUCGAUCAAGAGUGGCAUGUUGGCUGGUGGAUUAGGCAUAUAUUUCAAGGUAGGGUGGCUAACUUCAUGGACAAGGAUGGGGAUGAUAUGGAAAGCACCAAACAUUGAAUACCUAAACAUGCUACAUGCUACUGCUUACUUCAGAUUUUUAAGUGGAUUGUACUCUGUACAAAACCCUGUUGAUCGAUUUCAACAUCCACAAACAAUAUUAAUCUAAAUGGCUAUCCAAAUGGGAUGUGUUAGUUCGUUGUCUUCCCUACUUUUUCUAUCCAUGCAUGAUGGAGUUUCUGAGUUUCAAGUAUGGAAUGAGAUGUUGGCAAAAGCUUACCUAUCACCAAGUUGAGCAAACUAUUUGAUUUUUGUUGUGUGAACUGCAUGCCUAAAUGUGGUCGGAAUUGCAUAUAUAUGUCAAACUCAGUGCAUGUAUAUCUCCAGAUUUUGAUUUAUUGCCUAGAGAGCCUUAAUAAGGCCUAAGAUUUAUGGCCUUAAUCCUAUGUAGCAUGUCAUGUCACAUAGACACAUCAUCAAUUUAAUAAAUCAUGUCAUUUCAUUCAAAAGUAAAAAUACAAUCUUAACCUUAAUAAUUAAUGGAUGCUACAUACUAAUAUGGAAUAUUUUCUUACCCUUUUAAUAUGAAUGCAUAUAUACCAAAUUUAGUUAAUUUAUUAAUAAUAAUAACCAAGUUAAUAAUCAUACCAAAUUAGGCUUUUAUACCAUAAAUCAAUUUCGUAAAUUUCUUAAAUUCCUUCUAUCUUUGUGAUAUCUAUAUAUAAGCUAUAUUAUGUAUCGAAUUUUUAAAAUAAAAUAAAAAUAGGUAAAUCUCUAUCGAAUUUCUUUUGGANNNNNNNNNNNNNNNNNNNNGGACAUUUUACCUCAUUAUGGUGGAAAAGACGGUAGUAUAAAUAUAUACGUGUCAUAUCCCCUAUAUAAAUUAUUAUAUUUAUAUAGGGCUACGACGAUUGCGUCUAACGCUCACGUCGCACCAUAAUGGAAUUUUUACCUCAGUAUGGUGGAAAAGCACGUAUAACUAGCUAGCAUUCCUUCAUAUACAUAUUAUUCUCAUAAUCAUCCAAAUAUGGAUAUAUAUAUAUAUAUACACUCACCGAAAUUCUCGAUUUCGGUUAUUCUCCAACAAUGAUGAAAAUUGCCAAUUAUCAUAAAAAGCAAUACGCACACGACUCUACCGAAAAUCUCAUUUUCGGUAACUUUCCAAAUAACACGAUAGCCAUUAAAAAUGAGAACAUUUACUUCUGAAAAUGACUUCGCGAAAAUAAACAAUUCCAUAAAUUGAUAUUCAAUAAAAUCAAUCAUUUAAUGUAGAAUCACCGCAUGCAUAUAUUGUCACAUCCCGACCCUUAAAUUUUUACCUUAUUUACUAGAGUGAUUAUAAUAAGAAUUUUACCGUCUCGAUCAUUGAGUAAAUAGUUUAAUUGGUCCCUAGAGGGGUUUCGGGGACGAUUAUGUGCGGAGGAUUAUUCGUAUGAGGAAAAUACGACGACGGUAAAAAUGGUAAAUUUUAACUAGUAAAAGGUAAUUUUUAUUCGGGUAUUAUUUUUCGGGGUGUUUUUAUUUUGGAAGAGUGGGUUAUAAGUGGAUUGGACCGGUUUGGAGAGGCCCAAACCCAUCUCCCUCUUUUUCUCUUCUCCCUCUCUCCCGUUUUCUCCUUCCCUCCCCCGAGUUUUCUUCCUCCCACUGCCGGACUGUCCAGCCGCCAGCUGCCGCCGUCCGGCCAGCCACUGGCCGCCGCUCCACCCCAGUUCGGACCCCCAUCUCUUCCUCUCCCUCCCCGGCCUAGCCCCCGAGCCUCUAACCCGCAGGAAGAGGAGAAAACUCGUCGGAAACGCCGGGAAGCAUUUCGCCGGAACUCCCUCCCCCGGCCACCAAUCCGGGCAAGCUUGGUAUGGUUUUGUAGCCCUCCAACCCAGCAGCCUUGCCCUAAAAGGACUCACUCCCUCUUGAGCUAGGUAAGGAGAAAUUUGAGGUAGAAGUUUUAUGGUGUUUUUGAUGUUUUUAGUCGAUUGCCCUAGUUAGGCUUGGAAUUGGUGUUUGUGCUAGUUAUGAAAGUUGUAGAGCAUGAUGAGAGGAUUAUUCUGUCAAAAUUUCAUAGGUUUUGGAGGUCGCCGGAAUUGGCCUCCGGCCGCCGCUGCCGGCGGAGCCGCCGCCGGUUAGGAGAUUUUUAGGGUUUUAAGUGUGGAAUAUUAAGAGGAGUAUAUUGAUGUGAUUUAUGGAAUUUUUGGAUGAGAUUUGGAUAGGUUUGUGAAUUUCCGAAGUUUGGUAUUUUUGGCGGUUAAUUAAUGUAGAAUCCGGCCGUAGGAUUUAAGUCGUAUUUUGGGGAGGUUGUAUUUACGACUGUUGAGUAUGAUAUUUAAGUUCGGAUCGUUCCGAUUUAAGAAUAUCGAAGUUAGGUAAUANNNNNNNNNNNNNNNNNNNNUAUAUAUAUAGACACACACACACUUUAUUUUGGACGAAUUAUAUAUAUAUAUAUAUAUGUAAAAAAAUUCCUGGACAAAUUGUUUUUUCUUAGAGAAAUUAUAUAUGUAUAUAUAUUUCAUAAGAAUUCGUGUUUUUGAUCAAGUAUAUUCUCAUCAAAAUAUAUGUAUUUUCACACUAUAUGUUACGUUUAAUCUAAGCAUGAUAGUGAUGAAAAGAAAAAGAGAAAGAAAAUGCUACAAAUAUAUAUUUUUAAUUAUAAAAGAAAGACAAAUCAAUUUUUUUCUCUUAAUAAAAAGACAAAAUAAUCAAAAGUCAUUGGAUUUAUAAGGAUAAGAUUGUAUUUUUGCUUAAGAAUGACAUGGCAUAAUCUUUUUAAUUGGUGAUGUGUCUGGGUGACAUAGCAUGCCACCAAAGAUUAAGGCCAUAAAUCUUAGGCCUUAUUAAGGCCAAGAAUCAUUUUCCUUAAAAGUAUAGGGUGAGCCACCAUGGCUUUCUACAAUUUGAUCGAGGGCAGUAUUUAGUUUUGUCUAUCUAUCUAGCUUCGAGUCAUAGAAAUAUAAAACUCGUUUAUCCUUUUGAUUUUUUCUUUUUUAAUAAAUGACUGAUGCGGUUAUUUUUAAGUCUUCGUUACUGAAAAAGAAUUUUGACGGGGGAAUCGUUUAUCCUUCACUUAAUUAGAGCUUACUUAUAUAUUGAAAUUUUGAUACUAUAGAAAGAAAAGACGACUAUAUCGAUUCUCUAUAAAAUGGUUAUAUACAUCUGGUAAAUUUCAAGAACACGAUGAGACCUUGUUAGGAUUAAACGCAAGCAUCAAUAAUCAUAGAUUCAUAGGAUAUCUUCAUCAAAAUAAAUCAGAUAAAUAUCCUUCAAAUGACAUACAUUCCCCUUUUGUUCAUAAAUAUUCUGGUUGACAUGAUUAAUUUAUAAAAAUUUAGAUUCAUUCAAAUGUUCAGGGAAGAACGUACGUACUAUUGCUUCUAUCUCCUUAGGGUUUGCCUUAAUCAUCGAUCCUAAACUAUGCACUAUAAUAACAAAUUAAAAAAGGGGUUGUUAGCUAGCUAGAUUAAGUUUUUUAAUUAAUUAAUGAAAUAAUUGUGUAUGAAUGAUGGAAUAGCCCGACAUGAACAGACCCUUCGUCCAUACAUGUAUUGCAAACUAAGAUACCCAGCGAUGUUGUUAUCAAAUCCAGAUAAUUAGGUUUUGUUCUCGAUGAUACACACACACACACAUUAGCAAGCUGUAAUCGAAUGAUGUAUGAUGCAUCUUGUAAGUAGACCACAAAUUUUUGUCCCCAACAAUACACAAUUUGGUGCACAUCAGCACAUGGGAUUCAAAUCAUUCAAUUAUAGUUAUGAUCUUCUUGAAUAUAUAUUGGUGCACCACCACAAAUAAUAAUGCUACAUUAGCUAGCUUAGCUUGCUUCAAAUUAUGUGUUCGUUGGAGAAUCGAAUCACAUUUGAUUUAAUUGAUUAUAGGUUUCGAGGUAAAGUCUACUCUCUAUCUGUUGAGAUAUCGUUACAGUAGACUAAUUUCUUAUAUUCGUAGAUUAAUUAACUCGAUCUUUGUAGCCGUAGACAAACUCAAAUACUAAGCUGAAUCAAUAUGAUUAUGAAACCAGUAUCGAGUUGGUCUAUUUGAUGUAUCGAUAUAUGAACAAAACACGGAUAUAUGCAUCAAAUAGACUAACUCGAUACACUGUUCAUAUAUUUGGAUAACUACGUUGAUUUUAGAACGCAACCGAUCGAUCGAAUAUAUGCAUGCAUGCAAGUAAAGCUUUUGAUUUGUUGAGAGGUGACCAUCGAGCUACAGAGGCAGCAUGUUAGAGCUAGCCAUGCCAUGUGCAUGGUGGAACCAUGGAUAUAUACACCAGUUGUCACAUACCUUUUUCUUGUACGAGCCACAAUUCCAUUCGUGUAUUUUUGAGAAAAAUUUCAGGAAUAUCCAUCCUAGAUUAACCCUAAAGUAAUGAAAAGUGGAUAUAUCUUGUUAUUUCUCUUUUCGACUAAGACGUUCAUGUUCCUAGCUCACUUAUUUUUCUUGGAUCGAUCAACUUGAACAACCAUUAAGAGGUGUAGUUAAGCUGUUUAAGAUAUAGUUCAAUUCGAGCCAGAUCGAGUGGGUCUAAUAUUGUGUGAUAUGACUAAUAAGGUGUGUAUGACACAACAGAACGAUGCAUAUAGAAACUUGAUGUUGGCAUAGUGCUUGCAAGUUUGCGAAACGCUUGAGAUAGAUAUACAUAUAUGGAUAAAAAUACAAAAUGAGGAGCAUCACAUUUUACUUUCAAAGCGGUGUCCGGUAUUUGUAAUGGAACUUUAUAUAUAUAUAUAUAUAUAUAUAUAUAUAUAUANNNNNNNNNNNNNNNNNNNNAGCCCUAUAUAGACCCAUGAAUUUAUAUAGGGAGUAUGGACAAGUGUAAAUACAUACAUAUAUUAUAGAGUCUGAGAGGCUCGAUAUUUUAUGGGAUAAAAGUUGUAUCGCUUGCGGCAUGCAUUCGAUUUUUCCUUAGAAAUUAAUUUGGGGAAACAUAAAUAUUUUAUUUAUUAUUUUAUUUUUGUCCACUCACUCUAACGUUAUUAAAUUUUUUCCCCUGGGCCCUUCGUUUUAAAUUGCCCAGUCUGCAGAGUUCGGGUUGGAUCUAGUAGGAGACGAGGCAUAGUCACCCGCAUUUCUGCCAGUUUUCGUCAGUAGGUUACAUGUUCAACCUACUCGUGUUUUCUUUCUUCCGCUUGUGUUUAGUAGCUCUGAAUACUUUGGGAUUAUUGUAUAUUAUGUGUAGAAUUUCUGAAGGAUGAUUAUGUGAUGUUCGGAAGUGUUGAACUAAGAGUGUAAUAUGAAAUUUUCGAGUUAGGGUUGUCCAUCUGCAAGGGAGAUUUGCUUAAUCUUUUCAGUAAAUUUUCCUUGGAGGUGGUCCCCGCACGACUUACUCCGGGUUUCAGGGUGAAAUUUGGGGUGGGUCGUGUCAUAUAUUUUAAAACAAAAGUCCACUCACAACUUUCAGCCUAAGCCUGACGUCGAUCCGAUGCCUCUUCCACUCGAGCCUCCUCACGUCCUGAUCCAAACAUAUAAUUAAUUUCCCACUAAAAAUCCAAUAAUUAAACAAAAUGGGAAAAAUUAAACGUGAGCCUCCCACACACUCAUUAUUGCCCAACUUCGCCAUUCUUAACUCAAAACGGCUCAAACUUCACCGAACAUACCGGCAACCCUAAUUACAACUUCCCUCAUAAAAUGACUUAAAUCCUACGGCCGGAUUUUACAUUAUUCAACCGCCAAAAAUACCACACUUCGGAAAUUCAUAACCCUAUCCAAAACUCAUCCAAAAAUUUCAUAAUUCACUUCAAUAAACUCCCCUUAAUAAUCCAAAUUUAAAAACAUUAAAAUCUCCCAACCGGCGGCGGCCGGAGGCCGAUUCCGGCGACCUCCAAUGCCCACCAAAUUUUAACAGCAGAUUCUUCUCCACUCCCUUUACAACUUUCCUAACUAGCACAACCACAAAAUUCAAGCCUAGCUAGGGUAAUCGAACACAAACACCUAAAAAGCCCUAGGAUUUCAACUUCGAAUUUCUCCUUACCUAGCUCAAGAGGGAGUGAGCCCUUUGGAGGGAUUGAUGCACGGGAGGAGAGCUUCACAACGAGCCAAGACUCGCCGGCUAUGGCGGCCGGAGGAGGGAGCUCCGGCGAAUGGAGCAACCGGCUGCUAAGGGAGUUUCCUCCCCAUUCGGCGGCGUAACCGACCCGGUCACCAGCCCAGGCGAGGAGAGGAGGCGGCGGCAGUCCGAACGGGACCGGUGCGGCGACCUGGCUUGGCCAGACGGCGUCGGCGGGUGGAGGAUUCCGGCAGAGGAGGAGGGAGCUUGGGAGGGGAAGGAAAAGAAAAGAGAGAAGAAGAAAAAGAGGAGAAGAAGAGAAGAAAAGAGGAAAUAAAAAUGGGGUUUAGGCCUCACUCACCAACCCGGCCCAACACCACAAAUAUUACCUAACUCCACCAAUUUAACACCCCAAAACAAAAUACCCUAAUAAAAAUUACCUUUUACUAGCUAAAAUUUACUAAUUUUUACCGUCGUCAUAAUUUUCUCUUACAAAUAAUUGUCCCUUAAAACCCCUCUAGGGACUAAUUAAAACUAUAAACUCAUUUACCGUCGUCAUACUUACCUUUUACUAGCUAAAAUUUACUAAUUUUUACCGUCGUCAUAAUUUUCUCUUACGAAUAAUUGUCCCUUAAAACCCCCUAGGGACUAAUUAAAACUAUAAACUCAUUGACGGAGACGGUAAAAUUUUUAUUAUAACCAAGCUAGUAAAUAAGGUAAAAAUUUAAGGGUCGGGAUGUGACAUUAUUUCUUUUUCUUUGUCGUUGUAUACGUUUCCAUUCUCUUCUGCCGAAGCAGGUAAGCCAAGUGCCAAGUUUUCUCUCUUUAAUCUGCAGGUAUGAUUCUUAAUUAUAUCGGUCAUCCUCUUAAAGGGUCUUGUACGUGUCAUAUGACCUAGUUCUCAAAUCUCAAUUGAUUAAUAAUGUCUUGAUCAAAUUUAGUUCCAAUAUCCCAUCAUCUCAAAUCUCAAUUGAUUAAUGCCUUGAUAGUCUCAAUAUCUCAUCAUCCCAUCACACUGUAUUUCUAUUGAUAUUCUAAUUCUAAUCUCAAUAUAUUACUUGCUUACUAAUUCUAAGCCAAGUGUCAAGUUUUCUCUCUUUAAUCUGUAGGUAUGAUUCUUAGUUAUAUCGGUCAUCCUCUUGAAGUCUUGUACGUGUCAUAUGACCUUGUUCUCAAAUCUCAAUUGAUUAAUGCUUUGAUCAAAUUUAGUCGCAAUAUCUCAUCAUCUCAAAUUUCAAUUGAUUAAUGUCUUGAUAGUCUCAAUAUCUCAUCAUCCCAUCGCACUGUAUUUCUAUUAAUAUUCUAAUUCUAUUAUCAAUUGCUUACUUACUAAUUCUAAACCAAGUGUCAAACUUUAUCUAUUUAAUCUGCAUGUAUGAUUAUUAGUUAUAUUGGUCAUUCUCUUGGAGUCUUGUACGUGUCAUAUGACCUAGUUCUCAAAUCUCAAUUGAUUAAUGUUUUGAUCCAAUUUAGUCCCAAUAUCUCAUCAUCUCAAAUCUCAUGUGUAUCAGCAAGAGGGGCUAAUCCGAACGUGGUUUGUCUCCAUUCAAUUGAGAGGGAAGCCCCCGGGACGCUACGGUGCCUUAGCUGGUUCCCGAUCCUCCUUCAAAAGUGGGAAAGAGAGGCGGAAGGCGCCCCUUCCAAACAAUGAAAAAAAUCCGAGGAACUUCGAAGCUUAUAGGGCCUCCUCUUGUAAGCUAGCUCCAUUCGAUCGAUCGCUUCCGUUCAUAAUAGAUUGGUUGUGAAUUAAUUGAUUAAUGCCUUGAUAGUCUCAAUAUCCCAUCAUCCUAUCACACUGUAUUUCUAUUGAUAUUCUAAUUAUAAUCUCAAUUGCUUGCUUAUUUUAUUGUAGAUAACUAAUGCUUUUGAUGUGUAUAUAUAUAGAUAUAUAGUUGUAAUAGUACCAACAUUUGAUUCAUAGUUAUUAGAUUGUGUUUUUCCGUCCUGUUAGGUUUAAGGAUUAUACACUCGUUUACUGUAUUGUUAGAGCGGUGAUUGUGUGCUUAGUUAUUAGAUUUUGCUUCUAUUCAAGAGCGUAUGGUUCAAUUUGAGUAUGUUUGUUCUUUUAUCUUUAGCUUUUGUUAUCGAAUUUCUAUAAAAUGUUAAAAUAUUAAUUUCUUAAUGAUCAGUUAACUACGUGAUUAUUUGAUAUGUUUUUAAUCUAAAAUGUGAUAUGUAAAAUAUAGAAGAAAAAAAAAUAAAACAAUUUUAAGAAAAAAAUUUCAGUCCACCCCAACCUAAAAUCCUAGGUCCAACAUUGUGUGUGUGUGUAUAUAUUUAUAUAUACAGUCCGUUUCAGAUACGAACGUCCACACCGUAAACGGUGCGGACGUCCGCACCUGAUAACUGUUGUGUAUAUAUAUAUAUAUAUAUAUCAUGAAAUUAGAUUAAUUUAUAAUUAAUUUGAUCAAGAGAUUAACGUAAUCUUGUAAGGCUAUAACAUAUUCGAUCCUAUAAUGCAGUUCAUUGCAUUUAUAACUAGUACUGUCUAUGCAGCUUGUAAUCACAAGGAAGUAAAAGCUAGCGUCAGAGAUAGAUAGCGAAUUAGGGCUCUCUUGCAUACCCAAGAUGAAUUACCUACCCUACCUGGUCAUUGUUUGCCCAUAAUGCAACUCGAUCGAACACGGAACCAAAUUUGCCAACCAUCAAAUUUGGUGGUCANNNNN